This 766-nucleotide ribosomal RNA is filed under the name uncultured bacterium. Its description in RNAcentral is "bacterial SSU rRNA". It matches the Rfam family "Bacterial small subunit ribosomal RNA", at positions 28 to 776 of the family's 1533-position model. The record is from RNAcentral.
AUUGAACGCUGGCGGCAGGCCUAACACAUGCAAGUCGAGCGGCAGCGACUUAACUGAACCUUCGGGGAACGUUAAGGGCGGCGAGCGGCGGACGGGUGAGUAAUGCCUGGGAAUAUGCCCUGAUGUGGGGGAUAACUAUUGGAAACGAUAGCUAAUACCGCAUAAUCUCUUCGGAGCAAAGAGGGGGACCUUCGGGCCUCUCGCGUCAGGAUUAGCCCAGGUGGGAUUAGCUUGUUGGUGAGGUAAUGGCUCACCAAGGCAACGAUCCCUAGCUGGUCUGAGAGGAUGAUCAGCCACACUGGAACUGAGACACGGUCCAGACUCCUACGGGAGGCAGCAGUGGGGAAUAUUGCACAAUGGGGGAAACCCUGAUGCAGCCAUGCCGCGUGUGUGAAGAAGGCCUUCGGGUUGUAAAGCACUUUCAGUAGGGAGGAAGGUAGUGUAGUUAACACCUGCACUAUUUGACGUUACCUACAGAAGAAGCACCGGCUAACUCCGUGCCAGCAGCCGCGGUAAUACGGAGGGUGCGAGCGUUAAUCGGAAUUACUGGGCGUAAAGCGCAUGCAGGCGGCCUAUUAAGUCAGAUGUGAAAGCCCGGGGCUUAACCUCGGAAUUGCAUUUGAAACUGGCAGGCUAGAGUCUUGUAAGGGGGGUAGAAUUUCAGGUGUAGCGGUGAAAUGCGUAGAGAUCUGAAGGAAUACCAGUGGCGAAGCGGCCCCCUGGACAAAGACUGACGCUCAAUGCGAAAGCGUGGGGAGCAAACAGG